This 510-nucleotide ribosomal RNA is filed under the name uncultured bacterium. Its description in RNAcentral is "partial 16S ribosomal RNA". It matches the Rfam family "Bacterial small subunit ribosomal RNA", at positions 28 to 507 of the family's 1533-position model. The record is from RNAcentral.
GACGAACGCUGGCGGCGUGCUUAACACAUGCAAGUCGAACGAAGAGAGAUGGAAGCUUGAUUCUAUAAAUCUUAGUGGCGAAUGGGUGAGUCACGAGUAAUCAACCUACGAUUAAGAGGGGGACAACAGUAGGAAACGACUGCUAAUACCGAAUACGACCUAAUCUCGGCAUCGAGGAUAGAUGAAAGAUGGCCUCUACAUGUAAGCUAUCACUGAAGGAGGGGAUUGCGUCUGUUUAGCUAGUUGGAGUGGUAACGGCCAACCAAGGCGAUGAUCAGUAGCCGUUCUGAGGGGAUGAACGUCCACAUUGAGACUGAGACACGGCCCAGACUCCUACGGGAGGCAGCAGUAGCGAAUCUUCCUCAAUGGACGAAAGUCUGACGGUGCAACGCCGCGUGAGUGAUGACGGCCUUCGGGUUGUAGAUGUCUGUUAAUCGGGACGAAAGGCCUUCUUGCGAAGAGUGAGAAUGAUUGACGGUACCGGAAUAGAAAGCCACGGCUAACUACGUG